This 195-nucleotide ribosomal RNA is filed under the name Pochonia chlamydosporia var. spinulospora. Its description in RNAcentral is "partial large subunit ribosomal RNA". It matches the Rfam family "Eukaryotic large subunit ribosomal RNA", at positions 82 to 279 of the family's 3401-position model. The record is from RNAcentral. Lineage: Eukaryota; Fungi; Ascomycota; Sordariomycetes; Hypocreales; Clavicipitaceae.
AGUAACGGCGAGUGAAGCGGCAACAGCUCAAAUUUGAAAUCUGGCCCCUAGGGCCCGAGUUGUAAUUUGCAGAGGAUGCUUUUGGCGAGGUGCCUUCCGAGUUCCCUGGAACGGGACGCCAUAGAGGGUGAGAGCCCCGUCUGGUUGGAUGCCGAGCCUCUGUAAAGCUCCUUCGACGAGUCGAGUUGUUUGGGA